UCGUCUCUCUCCUCUCGAUCGAUCUCUCUCUCCCUCUCUCUCUAUCUCUUUCUUUCUCUGUAAAAUCUAGAAAUAGAAUCAGCACCUUCGCCCUUCCUCUAUCCUGCAGAAGCUAGAACCAACACCAGGUGGGGCUAUUCCACCGACUGUAGCAGCGCAAACCAACGCAUAUCUACAGUUCACUGGCUGCUGUCGGUCACCCACUUACAGUAUAUGGAAAAGGAUGCCCGAUAAAAUUGAUAGUUUGCUACUUUUCCACUUUCUGGAGACAGGCCAAUGAACAUGCUUGGAGUCGUACAGUCCCAAAAAGUUGCAGAACUACUUCUAGAUUUUAAAGUGAGCUCAAUAAUAUGAAAUCCUCAGAAUGCUUCUAUUGAAACAGCAAUUUCCAUCUCCAAGGUGAAGCUUUUCAAUGCUACUGGUCUUGUGUCAUAUAUCUCAAAUUUCCUCAGUGAAGAUGUAUUUAACUUUGCUCCAAGAGUUCUUUAUUUAUUCCAACUGGCAGACUUGAUUGUACUUAGGAAUGCCAAUUAGUUGUAGCUUGUGGAAGGAGGUUCCCAUUGGUUCAUUGUAACCAUUCCUAUAAAAGAAUUUAGAAAGCCUUUUCAUUUUUCUAGCAUUUUAUCCUCCAAUUUAUCGUUUUCAUCUUCUAAUAGUAUAAAUGAAAGAUUGCAGAGGUUUUGAAGAAGAAAAAGAGGGCAACAACAGAAGACAUAGCUAGAAUUGCUUUAUCUGAUAUUGUCAAAUAUUUCAAUCUUCCGAUAGUAGAAUCUUCAAGAAAUCUGAAGGUCGGACUUACUGUGCUGAAGAGGAAGUGCAGGGAACUUGGUAUUCCUCGUUGGCCACAUAGGAAGAUUAAAUCUCUUGACACUCUAAUACAUAGCCUCCAUGUACUCUGCUUUUCUUGGUCUGCCAAGUUGCAUUGCAUAUUUUCUGAUUUUGGUACUGCAUUUAGGACUGUCAAUAGGUUACCUGACAAACUUGAAUGAAUCCAACCUUAUUGUAAGAUCUGGGACAAGUCCUUGAUCCAACUUACUGGGACUCAUGAACAAUUGGUUUUUGCACCAGAUGUACCCUGAUUCAGUGGAACAAGGACCCAGCUGAGCCAAUUUAACUAUUUGUACAAGAGGGUCAGAGAAGGCAUUCAGAGUUGCUGAUGAAGAAUUCAAGCAAUUGGGUUUUUCUCAAUGAAAAUUACAAACUUGAUCCUAACAAGUUACCUUUAGAAGAUGUGGCAAAAUCGGAAUCUCUCUGCGAGAAAGAUUUGUAUUUAUACAACAUGUAUUGACAUUGCAGCACUGAAACAUUUGUAUUUAUAGGUUUGAUUAAGUAUAUUAUAUGCAACAAGUAAGGUUGGACUUGAUACCCCUUCUGGAUUCAGGUUGAGCCAAACACGAGCAGUUGAUGUAUAUCCCUAUAACUCUAUACAUGUAUCUGAUAUGAAGCUUCUGGGAACCGAUUAUUCACAGCCAUCCAAAUACCACAAGUCACCUUUCAUUUCUCAAAAGGAGGUUUACUGUUGGACUGUGGUGAAGGGACAUUGGGUCAACUAAAGAGGAGAUAUGGUGUAAAGGGUGCUGACAAUGCUGUGAGAAGAUUGAAGUUUAUUUAGAUUUCUCAUAUUCAUGCUGAUCAUCAUACCGGUCUACCAAGAAUACUUGCUCUUCGUCGAGAGUUGUUAAAGGAAGUUGCUCAUGAACCAUUACUUGUUAUUGGGCCAAGGAAGCUUAAAAUAUUUUUGGAUGCAUAACAAAAACACGAGGAUCUAGAUAUGCAGUUCCUUGACUGCAGGCACACAACAGAAGCUUCAUUGGAUGCCUUCAAGGAUGCUCUUGAAUCUAUUCAAAAUAACUUCGUUUCAAGAACUAAUGUUGAAAACUUAAUAGCAGAGAUGGACAAGGUGUUCCAGUGCAAAAUAUUGAGACAACCUUGUUUGCAAGAGGCAGCCCCAUGCAGAGCUUUUGGAAGAGACCUAGUAGUCCAGUUGACUCUGGAAUGAGCUCUGAGUCUGAGCUCCUAAUGAACUUGAAAAAGGUUCUUGGUGAAGUAGGUUUGGAGGCUCCGGUCAGUGUGCCUGUUGUGUAUUGUCCAUAGGCAUUUGGUGUUGUCAUGAAGGCAGCAGAUAGAGUCAACACCAUUGGAAGAACUACUCCAGGUUGGAAGAUUGUCUACUCUGGUGACACUAGGCCCUGUCCUGAACUGAUAGCAGCAUCUUAGGGAGCAACAAUUCUUGUACAAACCUAGAAUUUAUCAAA
This is a long non-coding RNA of Nelumbo nucifera (sacred lotus), 2255 nucleotides long. RefSeq lists it as uncharacterized. The record is from RefSeq and is a predicted model, not a curated record. NCBI's taxonomy places the organism in Eukaryota, Viridiplantae, Streptophyta, Magnoliopsida, Proteales, Nelumbonaceae.